RNA transcript from Papaver somniferum (opium poppy), 2765 nucleotides. It is a transcript of the gene named transcription termination factor MTEF18, mitochondrial-like, with no coding region annotated. NCBI's taxonomy places the organism in Eukaryota, Viridiplantae, Streptophyta, Magnoliopsida, Ranunculales, Papaveraceae. The record is from RefSeq and is a predicted model, not a curated record. The transcript is spliced from 5 exons.
CCAAAGCUUGAAGCAUGUCUCUCUCAUGGCAGAUUCAUUUUUCCACCUGAGAAAACAAAAAUUGAGCUGAACCCACAAAUUCUAAGGUAAAAUUUAACACACCUGCAUUGAAAAGUUUGCUUUUUGAUUCUCAUUUCGUUCUCAUUUGUACGAAUUGUUCUUGCUCUGUUUUUCCAUUCCCUUGUCUGGAUUUCAGUUUUGAGAUGCAUAAAUCUAUCCUGCAUAAGGUUAGGGAGUACCCAUUUCUGUGUUUACCCUAUACAGCAGAAAUUUUAUUAUUCAUUUCUUGUGGUGAAAUUUGUGAUGAUUAAGUUGGAGAAUCUAAAUAGAUAUCAUUGGAGAAAUCACAAUGUUUAUGAAUGUAAAUCUUAAAUCUGUUACUUCUAUUAGUACUGUGGAACCUCUAAAAUACUUCAAUUUGGUUAAGAUUCAAUGUAGACAUUCUUGUAUUUCAAUGCCAAUGUCGAAGGCAAUAGCAAUGUCAGACCGAUCGUCCGCUUCUUGUAUGGUUACUAGAUUAGCUAGAGGUGUUCGAAGUGAAGCAGAAAAUGUACUGUUUGAUUAUCUACAUUAUACUAGAAAUUUACAAUUUUCAGAUGCAGAACAUAUAAGUAAAAACUCACCCACGUUUCUUAGAACGCUUUUAUCAAAGGUUAUUGAUAGUGAUGAAGAAAUUAGUAGGUCACUGGCGAGGUUUCUUCGUUAUAAUCCUAUUAAUGAAUUUGAACCGUUCUUUGAGAGUUUAGGCUUGGCAGCGUCAGAGGUUAACCCACUUCUUCCGCGUGAACUGAUGUUUCUAAGUGAUGAUUAUAUACUGCUUCAGAAUUAUCAUGUUCUUUGUAAUUAUGGAAUUCCUCGUUCUAAGAUUGGGAAGAUAUAUAAGCAAGUGAGGGAGAUAUUUGGGUAUGAUCAUGGGGUCUUGGCUGCGACAUUUCGUGGUUAUGAAGAGUUGGGACUGAGUAAACCUACUGUUAUUGCGCUAGUUACCUGUUGUCCUACACUUUUGGUUGGUGGUGUUAAUGGGGAUUUUGUUCGGUUUCAUACAAUGUUGAAUAGUUUGGGGAUUGAAACAAAUUGGGUUAAAGAGUAUUUGUCUGAUAAGAACACGUGUAGAUGGAAUAAAAUGGUUGGUGUGACAAGGUUUCUUGAAGAAAUGGGUUGUAGCAGGAAAGAAAUGAGAAUAUUGAUUGACAAGCAUCCUAGGUUUCUAUUUGAAGACUCUGGAAACAAGAUUUAUAUAUUGGUUGCGUUGUUGCUGAAGAUCGGUAUUUCAGCAGAAAACAUAUUGCUAUUGUUUCUUCAACAUCCUCAAAUUUUAGUUGGGAAUUAUGCUAAAAAUCUAUGGGGUGCGCUGCAUUUUCUGUCGGAGAUUAAGAUGGAAACUGAAGAUAUUGCUACAAUUAUCAGUAGUCAUGCACAUAUAUUGGGUUGUUCUUGUCUGAAGAAGAAACCUAGAACAGUUCUAUCGAACUUAAAAGUAGACCCAGAUAAGUUGUGUGAGAUCAUAAAGGAAGACCCUCCAAUGUUGGUUACUUUGGCUGGAAAAAAGAAAACUUCUCCCAAGAAGGCAUCGAAUGAUCUGGAGAAAACUACAUUCUUGUUGAGUAUUGGGUAUGUUGAGAAUUCAGAUGAGUUGGUGAAAGCUCUGACGCGGUUUCGUGGUAGAGGGGAUCAAUUACAAGAGAGAUUUGAUUGCUUGGUAAAUGCUGGACUAGACUUCCAUGAUGUCUGCAAGAUGAUCAAAGAUGCUCCACAAGUGCUGAAUCAGUCAAAGGAUGUUAUCGAGAUGAAGAUUAACCAUCUGGUGAAUGAUUUAUGUUACCCUGUGCAAGAUCUGGUAGCAUUUCCCAGAUACUUGUGUUAUGAUAUAGAGAGAAUCAAACUUAGGUUCUCAAUGUAUGUAUGGCUUAGAGAAAAAGGUGUGGUAGGAAAAAUGACUUUAAGUACGAUUCUUGUGAGCUCACAUGCACGUGUUAUAAAGUACUUAGUAAAUCUUCACUCAGAAGGACCAGCUGUUUGGGAAAGAUUAAAAAGAGAGUUGUCUUCAAAUUAGGUUUCUGAUCUUUCUCAUCGCAUUUGGCACAAUCCUCUUUGCCAUCUCUUGUUCAGGAUGUGUAGGAAUUUCUGCCAAAAAUCACUGUUGUUUAUAUCUUUACACUUUGUUAAUGGCGAUACUAAUAUUAUCCGAGAUUGGUCUUGGAGCUUUUGUAGCCUAUGAUCGCAGAUGGAAAGAGAGGAUACCGAAGGAUAAAACUGGGAAACUUAACUCAGGCUAUGCUUUCAUAGAAUCAUACUGGAAAAUAUUUAGAUGGGUUGCUCUUGGAGCAGUCAUUUUAGAGGUAUUAGCUCUACUGUUAUCUAUCGUUGUGCAAUUGUCCAGAACUCGGGCGUUUUACGAUAGCAGUGACGAAGAGUUUGACAGGUAUCAGCAGUUCCAAAGAAUGGUUCCUCCAAGGCAGGUUUACCCUGCCAGCAGAACACCUUCACCAACUAUUGGCAACAACCAGAAACAACCUGCAGUUCAAUUGGGCAGGGCUGCAGUAUGAAGUAGUACCAGCUUCAUAGUCUGAUUCACAAAAAUUUAAAUACAUUAGUCUAUCCAUAUAUGAUGUCAUAAACCGAUUAUUCAUCUUGUUUAAGAAAGCAAAAUCAUGAUUCCUAUUUCCAUAUUCACAGAAAUCCUAGUAAUUGCUCUUCAUACAGACAUAAAGAGGAAUGUAUCUGACAACAACUCACAAAAUUAAAUGAAAGAUGCACAUUUUUAA